CGGCCUUGACAUACUAAGAACUUUCCAGAGAUGGAUUGGUGCCUUCGGGAACUUAGAUACAGGUGCUGCAUGGCUGUCGUCAGCUCGUGUCGUGAGAUGUUGGGUUAAGUCCCGNAACGAGCGCAACCCUUUUCCUUAUUUGCCAGCGGGUCAUGCCGGGAACUUUAAGGAUACUGCCAGUGACAAACUGGAGGAAGGCGGGGACGACGUCAAGUCAUCAUGGCCCUUACGGCCAGGGCUACACACGUGCUACAAUGGUCGGUACAAAGGGUUGCUACCUCGCGAGAGGAUGCUAAUCUCAAAAAGACCGAUCGUAGUCCGGAUCGCAGUCUGCAACUCGACUGCGUGAAGUCGGAAUCGCUAGUAAUCGCGGAUCAGAAUGCCGCGGUGAAUACGUUCCCGGGCCUUGUACACACCGCCCGUCACACCAUGGGAGUUUGUUGCACCAGAAGUAGGUAGUCUAACCGCAAGGAGGACGCUUACCACGGUGUGGCCGAUGACUGGGGUGAAGUCGUAACAAGGUAGGCGUAGAUGA
RNAcentral lists this ribosomal RNA (535 nucleotides) under uncultured bacterium. Its description in RNAcentral is "bacterial SSU rRNA". It matches the Rfam family "Bacterial small subunit ribosomal RNA", at positions 976 to 1509 of the family's 1533-position model. The record is from RNAcentral.